ACACACUAUACUCCAUACAAAGAAAAUCCACAUUUAGUUUUAAAUUUUCCCAAAAAUUUCAAAAAUGAAAAUUUUGAUUUUCCUAAUAAUGUUUCUUGCUAUGUUGCUAGUAACAAGUGGGAAUAAUAAUCUAGUAGAGACAACAUGCAAGAACACACCAAAUUAUAAUUUGUGUGUGAAAACUUUGUCUUUAGACAAAAGAAGUGAAAAAGCAGGAGAUAUUACAACAUUAGCAUUAAUUAUGGUUGAUGCUAUUAAAUCUAAAGCUAAUCAAGCUGCUAAUACUAUUUCAAAACUUAGGCAUUCUAAUCCUCCUCAAGCUUGGAAAGAUCCUUUGAAGAAUUGUGCCUUUUCGUAUAAGGUAAUUUUAACAGCAAGUAUGCCAGAAGCAAUAGAAGCAUUAACAAAAGGUGAUCCAAAAUUUGCAGAAGAUGGAAUGGUUGGUUCUUCUGGUGAUGCACAAGAAUGUGAAGAAUAUUUUAAAGCUACAACUAUUAAAUAUUCACCACUUUCUAAAUUAAAUAUAGAUGUUCAUGAACUUUCUGAUGUUGGUAGAGCCAUUGUAAGAAAUUUAUUGUAAUAUGUCAUGUCAUAAUGUUACAUAUCGAAAAGUUUUUAUAGUUUAGUUUGAUAGACUGUCUGAAUUAUUAUUUUAUUCUUGCUAGUAAAAAUUCGAUUCGUCACAUUAUGAUCAUCUGUGGUUCAUUUUUCUUUUUUCUACCUCAAAUG
RNAcentral lists this unclassified non-coding RNA (729 nucleotides) under Hevea brasiliensis (rubber tree). Lineage: Eukaryota; Viridiplantae; Streptophyta; Magnoliopsida; Malpighiales; Euphorbiaceae. The record is from RNAcentral.